GGAUUAGAUACCCUGGUAGUCCACGCCGUAAACGAUGGAUACUAGCUGUUGGGCGUAAGCUCAGUGGCCAAGCGAAAGUGAUAAGUAUCCCACCUGGGGAGUACGACCGCAAGGUUGAAACUCAAAGGAAUUGACGGGGGCCCGCACAAGCGGUGGAGCAUGUGGUUUAAUUCGAUGAUACGCGAGGAACCUUACCAGGGCUUAAAUGUAGAGUGACAGGCUGAGAGAUCGGCUUUUCUUCGGACACUUUACAAGGUGCUGCAUGGUUGUCGUCAGCUCGUGCUG
Molecule: ribosomal RNA, 285 nt
Filed under: uncultured bacterium
Lineage: Bacteria
Description: partial 16S ribosomal RNA
Rfam family: Bacterial small subunit ribosomal RNA
Source: RNAcentral